AUGAUUUGUGUUAUUGCAUACACGCAUAAUGGCAUGAUUGUAUCGGGAAGCGGUGAGGUCUGCGGUGCAGUAAAAGGACUCUCGGCCUUACAGAAGCUUUGCCUUGAGUAUGCUCAUGGCCUCAAUGACAAUGACAUGAUUGCAUUAUCUCAGAGCUCCAGCAACCUUAAAAGCAUCACACUUUGGCUCAACCUGCAGCGCUACUCUAGUGAUGUCAGCUAUUGCGAGACCAGGACGUCAUUUACUGAUAACAGCCUUUACGCUCUAGCCCUCAACUGUCGUAUGCUUCAGAUGGUAGACCUCAGCUUUACAGGAUGUGAUGAUGGCUGGCCAUCAGAAAUAGGAUUCACACAAGAGGGUCUUCUGGUGCUCGUUCAGUCCUGCCCGAUUCGUGUUCUCGUGCUCAACAACGCCAACUUCUUUGAUGAUGAGGGGAUGAAGGCCCUCUCAUCCUCACCUCAUCUGGAGACACUCGAGCUUAUAUUGUGUCAUGCGGUAACUGAUGCCGGGAUGCGCUUCAUUGCUCACACCCCAUGCUUGAGUAGUCUCACACUUCGGAUGUGUCAUAAUGUUACUGAUGUUGGAGUGGUUGAACUGGAACAUACACAGAAGCUAAAGUCUUUGGUCAUUGAGUAUUGUGGUGAGGUCUCUCUGGAAGUUGCGCAGGGUGUUGCCAAGUCAGUUCACUACUCCAAGGACUGUUCAGAUGCCCUUAUGGAGACAGUUGGUCUUGGCGCCUAUUGA
RNAcentral lists this ribosomal RNA (744 nucleotides) under Triticum aestivum (bread wheat). RNAcentral's name for it is "partial small subunit ribosomal RNA". Lineage: Eukaryota; Viridiplantae; Streptophyta; Magnoliopsida; Poales; Poaceae. The record is from RNAcentral.